This 60-nucleotide microRNA precursor is filed under the name Xenopus laevis (African clawed frog). RNAcentral's name for it is "microRNA xla-mir-30b precursor". Its record names the gene xla-mir-30b. Lineage: Eukaryota; Metazoa; Chordata; Amphibia; Anura; Pipidae. The record is from miRBase by way of RNAcentral.
UGUAAACAUCCUACACUCAGCUCGAAUGUAUAACCUGACUGGGUGGGGGGUGUUUGCCUC